RNAcentral lists this ribosomal RNA (497 nucleotides) under uncultured bacterium. RNAcentral's name for it is "partial 16S ribosomal RNA". It matches the Rfam family "Bacterial small subunit ribosomal RNA", at positions 28 to 507 of the family's 1533-position model. The record is from RNAcentral.
GAUGAACGCUGGCGGCGUGCCUAAUACAUGCAAGUCGAACGCAUAGCGAAAGGUGCUUGCCCCUUUCAAGUGAGUGGCGAACGGGUGAGUAACACGUGGACAACCUGCCUCAAGGCUGGGGAUAACAUUUGGAAACAGAUGCUAAUACCGAAUAAAACUUAGUGUCGCAUGACACAAAGUUAAAAGGCGCUUCGGCGUCACCUAGAGAUGGAUCCGCGGUGCAUUAGUUAGUUGGUGGGGUAAAGGCCUACCAAGACAAUGAUGCAUAGCCGAGUUGAGAGACUGAUCGGCCACAUUGGGACUGAGACACGGCCCAAACUCCUACGGGAGGCUGCAGUAGGGAAUCUUCCACAACGGGCGAAAGCCUGAUGGAGCAACGCCGCGUGUGUGAUGAAGGCUUUCGGGUCGUAAAGCACUGUUGUAUGGGAAGAACAGCUAGAAUAGGAAAUGAUUUUAGUUUGACGGUACCAUACCAGAAAGGGACGGCUAAAUACGUG